RNAcentral lists this ribosomal RNA (253 nucleotides) under uncultured bacterium. RNAcentral describes it as "partial 16S ribosomal RNA". It matches the Rfam family "Bacterial small subunit ribosomal RNA", at positions 524 to 776 of the family's 1533-position model. The record is from RNAcentral.
GACGAAGGAUCCAAGCGUUAUCCGGAUUCAUUGGGUUUAAAGGGUGCGUAGGCGGACUUAUAAGUCAGUGGUGAAAGCCGAUAGCUUAACUAUCGAACUGCCAUUGAUACUGUAGGUCUAGAGUAUAGAUGAUGUUGGCGGAAUAUGACAUGUAGCGGUGAAAUGCAUAGAUAUGUCAUAGAACACCGAUUGCGAAGGCAGCUGACAAAACUAUAACUGACGCUGAUGCACGAAAGUGCGGGGAUCAAACAGG